CUGUAGGUGAACUGCGGAAGGUCAUUGUCGAGAACCCUAAAAGUUCAAGCGAUCUGUGCAGACAGUUUGGGGAUGCGGUCCCGCAUUAUGCCUCCACCCGUCGUGCGGGUCCUUUGGUUGUGGCGAUCCGCAUGGCGUGGUAAACUAGCUAUGGGCGCAGUUAUGCGCCAAGUGACGAGUGAAUGUCUCUGCUAAUGUGGCUUAUGUGUAUGCCCAUGGGUUGAUGAGGCAUGACAUGUGCAUUUGAUCAGAUGACUCUCGACAACGGAUAUCUUGGCUCUCGCAUCGAUGAAGAACGCAGCGAAACGCGAUAUGUGUUGUGAAUUGCAGAAUCCCGUGAAUCAUCUAGUCUUUGAACGCAAGUCGCGCCUGAGGAUGCAAGCCGAGGGCACGCCUGCAUGGGUGUGAUGUGCUUAGUCGCUCAAUAUAGUUGUUUGUGGAUGCCUUUUUGGGUGUCUAGGACUAUGAUUAGAGGCGGGCAAUGGCUCCCCAUGCUAUGCCAUGGCGGGUUGAAGUGUGGGUCGACGAUCGAUAGGUGGUGCUAUUAGAGGUGGAUGACAUGUCGUUUAAGCGACUAAAGGGAAAUGUCAUUGCAACUUGUUGUUCAUAUGACCCUCACAAAUCCAACACCAUGUCCUUUAUUUGGAAUGUGACCCCAUGUCAGCGAGC
RNAcentral lists this ribosomal RNA (669 nucleotides) under Eriaxis rigida. RNAcentral describes it as "eukaryotic LSU rRNA". The stretch from base 254 to 408 matches the Rfam family "5.8S ribosomal RNA". Lineage: Eukaryota; Viridiplantae; Streptophyta; Magnoliopsida; Asparagales; Orchidaceae. The record is from RNAcentral.